CCCUACGGGGGGCAGCAGUGAGGAAUAUUGGUCAAUGGGCGGGAGCCUGAACCAGCCAAGUCGCGUGAGGGAUGACGGCCCUACGGGUUGUAAACCUCUUUUGUCGGGGAGCAAGACCCGCCACGAGUGGCGGAGCGAGAGUACCCGAAGAAAAAGCAUCGGCUAACUCCGUGCCAGCAGCCGCGGUAAUACGGAGGUGGCGAGCGUUAUCCGGAAUGAUUGGGCGUAAAGGGUGCGCAGGCGGUCCUGCAAGUCUUGAGUGAAAC
RNAcentral lists this ribosomal RNA (266 nucleotides) under uncultured bacterium. RNAcentral describes it as "partial 16S ribosomal RNA". It matches the Rfam family "Bacterial small subunit ribosomal RNA", at positions 337 to 600 of the family's 1533-position model. The record is from RNAcentral.